This 445-nucleotide ribosomal RNA is filed under the name uncultured bacterium. Its description in RNAcentral is "bacterial SSU rRNA". It matches the Rfam family "Bacterial small subunit ribosomal RNA", at positions 354 to 796 of the family's 1533-position model. The record is from RNAcentral.
GUGAGGAAUAUUGGUCAAUGGGCGCAAGCCUGAACCAGCCAUGCCGCGUGCAGGACUACUGCCCUAAGGGUUGUAAACUGCUUUUGCGGGGGAAGAAAAAGCGCCACGCGUGGCGCCCCGACGGUACCCCGCGAAUAAGCAUCGGCUAACUCCGUGCCAGCAGCCGCGGUAAUACGGAGGAUGCAAGCGUUAUCCGGAUUUAUUAGGUUUAAAGGGUGCGUAGGCGGGGCUUUAAGUCAGCGGUGAAACCGCCCGGCUCAACCGGGCGCAUGCCGUUGAUACUGCAGCCCUUGAAUUCGGUCGAGGCAGGCGGAAUGUGUAAUGUAGCGGUGAAAUGCAUAGAUAUUACACAGAACACCGAUUGCGAAGGCAGCCUGCCGGGCCUGGAUUGACGCUGAUGCACGAAAGCGUGGGGAUCGAACAGGAUUAGAUACCCCUGUAGUCC